This 328-nucleotide long non-coding RNA is filed under the name Daucus carota (carrot). Its description in RNAcentral is "long non-coding RNA (DCAR_LNC006410)". The record is from RNAcentral. Lineage: Eukaryota; Viridiplantae; Streptophyta; Magnoliopsida; Apiales; Apiaceae.
AUUGUAGCAUUUUCAAUUUGCUCUUCGAUUUCAAUCUCUGGCUCAAGUUCAACAUGGGUCCCCUCAUUUUCAGCCUCUUCUCUAACAUCUGCAUCUUCAUUAGAAACCCCAACAUUAGUAUUUUUGGAGUUCUUUUUCCCAAAAAACUUGUGCAGUGAGCCCAUUUGCAAUUUAUCUGCUUCCAUCGAUUUCAAUUUCUUUUGCCUUUUCUGAUAACCUGAUAAUUGAUGACGCUUCAUCUUCUAAGCAGAUGAAAGUCUCUUCAGUGAUAACUCCUAAGUCCUAUCAAGAGCCAGAGCAACCCAAUAGCCGAUCCAAUAGUUUAUUG